UUUUUGGUGCUCUAAUUUUGCUGAAUAAAUAAAUAAAUUAUUUGUUUUAUUAAUUUACUUUUAAUGUAUAUAGUGUGGCCUGUAUUUUCAUAUAUGUUUUGUUUGUUUGGCUGUUAUAUUUUAAAUAUUUAUUGUAGGGUCACUUAGCUCAUUUUAAAAUUUGGGUAACAGUAUAAUUAAAAUAUCUUAGGUGAGUUUUGGAACCAACAAAUAGGGGUUAGUGGAUUGAGUGGUUUAUUUAAGGGAGGGGCUCUGGAAAAAUUGGGGGAAUGCAAAGUUUAACGAAAAGAGGAUAAAGUAGUGUGUGUAGUAGGAGAUAGUAAAAAAUCAAAAGAGUAUUUUUGGAGUUUUCUUGGAAGCAAGAACGGUAACGUGAAGGAGGUGAAAGUUUUGGGUUCUCAAUCUUGGGCAAAGAAAGAAAGCUAGGAUUUAUCUAAGGUAAGAGAAGCUGAACUUGUUUUAUGUUUUACGAAUUGCGACUUCACAAAGCAUGGGUGGUUAAUUGUGCAUAUGAUACUGUUUGGAUUAUAUUUGUUUUUGGGUUGUUCCGGGUUCUUUGAUGAAUUUUAUCUGUUGUUAUUGGCUAGGUCGAAGAUAGUCUGACGAAAAAUCGUAUGCUUGUAUUGGUAUAGGACAGAAUUCUACUUUUUCUGUCUUCUUUAACGUUUAAACUGAAUGCAGAAAUAGCUUAAGCAUGCAUGUGAAUUUCGAUUCUAGUCUGGGAAAUUUAAGUUCUUUGGUACAGGAUGAUAGUUAUUAAUGGUACUCUAAUUUUUUUUGGUUGAUCAUAUAUGUUGUUNUCGNGUGCUGUAUUUAACUUACGUUUAGAAGAUUAAAUACAUGCAAGAAGUAAAUAUGCAGUGACUGAUAUUGAGUAGUGUAAUGAAGAUUCUAGUUUAGUUGUGGGUUCAUAUUUAAGACCUGUAUGUACAACAGUUUUGAAUAAGUAACUUUGAAU
This 958-nucleotide long non-coding RNA is filed under the name Vigna radiata. RNAcentral's name for it is "long non-coding RNA (VRAD_LNC003999)". The record is from RNAcentral. Lineage: Eukaryota; Viridiplantae; Streptophyta; Magnoliopsida; Fabales; Fabaceae.